GACUGUUAGAGGUAAGUGGAAUUCCAGGUGUAGUGGUGAAAUGCGUAGAUAUCUGGAGGAACACCAGUGGCGAAAGCGACUUACUGGGACAGUUCUGACGCUAAGGGACGAAAGCGUGGGGAGCGAACCGGAUUAGAUACCCGGGUAGUCCACGCCGUAAACGAUGAUUGCUAGGUUUUCGGGGCAUCGACCCCUCGUGAGCCGAAGUUAACGCGUUAAGCAAUCCGCCUGAGUAGUACGGCCGCAAGGCUAAAACUCAAAGAAAUUGACGGGGGACCGCACAAGCAGCGGAGCGUGUGGUUUAAUUCGAUGGUAAGCGAAGAACCUUACCAGGGUUUGACAUGUAAGUAGUACUGAACCGAAAGGGGAUGGACCCGCAAGGGAGCUUACACAGGUGUUGCAUGGUUGUCGUCAGCUCGUGCCGUGAGGUGUUGGGUUAAGUCCCGCAACGAGCGCAACCCUCUUUGUUAGUUGCACUCUCUAACGAUACUGCCCUUAAAAGGGAGGAAGGUGGGGAUGACGUCAAAUCAUCAUGGCUCUUACACCCUGGGCUACACACACGCUACAAUGGCAAGUACAGACGGUUGCCAACCCGCGAGGGGGAGCUAAUCCGAUAAAACUUGUCUCAGUUGGGAUUAUAGGCUGAAAUUCGCCUAUAUGAACGUGGAGUUGCUAGUAAACGCAGGUCAGCACACUGCGUUGAAUACGUUCCCGGUCCUUGUACACACCGCCCGUCACGUCAUGGAAGUUUGUAACACUUGAAGUCGUUGCGCUAACCCUUUGGGAGGCAGACGCCGAGAGUGGGACGGAUGAC
RNAcentral lists this ribosomal RNA (814 nucleotides) under marine metagenome. RNAcentral describes it as "bacterial SSU rRNA". It matches the Rfam family "Bacterial small subunit ribosomal RNA", at positions 646 to 1475 of the family's 1533-position model. The record is from RNAcentral.